AUGUCAAAAGGACAAAGACACAAAAACACACACGUAAAAACACACACACACACACACACACACACACACACACACACACACACACACACACACACACACAGCAGCAGAAUAUAUAGGAGGUCUUUAAAAGACUUCCCAGCAGCACAUUGCAGCCUCAGAAGAUGUAUGUGUACAGUUUGCACCAGAACCCGUGUGGACUUGUUGUGUUUGGACCACGGCACACACAGUUUCAACAGCAAAGUGAGUUCGCCGGCCCGGCUACCAUGACAGGCUGAGGGAGCGUGAUCCGGUGGCAGAACGUGUUUACAGCUGAAUACAUAUCGGAUGUCCAUGUCGGAAAAUUUGUCAGGAGGUUGAAUUUAAAUAUAUGCAUCUGUAUAUUUGGACCUGUGUGUGUGUGUGUGUGUGUGUGUGUGUGUGUGUGUGUGUGUGUGUGUGUGUGUGUGUGUGUGUGUGUGUGUGUGUGUGUGCCAGUCUCUUUGGCUUGUAGACAGGCAUGCACCGAUUUAAUCACUCCCCAGGCAGAGUAUGGGGGAGGUGGAGGAGGCUGUGAGGCAGAUAGGAACAGACAAACGCGACAAGGCGAAAGAAGGAGGUAGAAGGCUCGCCCUGAAUGCCAGCCUCGCUGCACAGUAAACACAAGCUUGCACACACAGGUGCACAUGCAUGUAUAUUAAUAUAGCUUCAUGUGCUUCACCAUCGCAGAAGCUGUGGUAGUGAAUAUAACAUCACAUGGGCUCUUCUAGUUCAUGUGAUCUGUUGAGUGCCUCGUAAAUGAGGUCUUUGUGUGUUUGUUACGUGUAACCUGCCCUUUGUGAGCGUAGACCUGUGCCUUUGUGUGGGCUUGAGGCGGGUAUUGUAUGCAUUUAGUCCCAGCCAGAGGUCACUAAUGGAGAGCAGGGUGGUAAUGGGCCUGGGCAGUUGUGUAAUUGCAUCAUGCCUAACGCAAUAAGCUAAAGGUCAGCCUGCCCCAGCUGACUUCUGUCCCGGCGUUGACCUGAUGAGAGACUAACCGUGGCACCGCACCUCCAACAAGCCAUGCAGCACCAAGACAGGAACCAAUAAACAGGAACCGUCACCUGGGGUCCAUUUUUACGUUUUUAGGAGAGAAAAUGUCCCACUUGUUUACAUGGGGGGGGGGUCCUUGUACUGUAAAGAUGUUGUUCUGGUGAGUUUAGAUCUCUAAUUCCUUGUCACGUCUCUGCGUCUGGCUGUGAUGAGUGUCUUCCUGUGAACAUGCAUCCUUGUUUAUGGUCUGUGGGAGAAGGCCGCAGUAGAGACGACAUGAACUAACUCCAUGUGUAAAAGCUGCAGCUAGCAAUCAAACCUGCAACCUUCCUGCUGCGGGGCAACACUGUGACCAGCUGCACCACCACGCAGUCCCAAGGCAGAUCGGACUCGGGUCUUGUCAUGUGGUCGAAGUGAGAUUUUCUCUGAUUGGAUCGUUUUACUUCAGGUGACGCCUAGACACUCAAAUACAUCCCACAGUUUACUCCUCUCAUUCAUCUUUCUGUUGGUGUGAUGUCUGACAUGGAACACUCAGACGUGUCACAACCAUUUCAGACAUGAUCAAAUCAUUUCCCUCUCCGUUUCAGAGUCGUGUUGGUGUAGGGAACACAUCUCCAAGCUUUUGGAAAUAAAAAUUCAAUUUCUCUAAAGAAACAUUCAGUUUGCACAUAAGUGGUUAACAUAAAACUACAGAGACCAACGCAACGAAGGUGAGUUCACUUUUCUUUCUUUAGGGGACCGUUUCGUUUUUUUUUUACUGUGCAAAGACAAAUUAUUUAGCAUUUAUUUUAUUCUUUCACCUUUACUCAUAGAGGUAACGUUAGAAUCAUUAGCAUUAGCAUUGUUUCCAUGUUAGCCAGAUGCUGCUAUCUGCUUCAGCCUCAUGCUGUUAUUUAGUACAUCAGGAGAAUUAAACUCCAUGUUAGGCCUUUGUGAGAAUAAAUCAAUAAUGUUGCGUGAACAGAGCCCUUUUUUAUCCAUCACACACACACACAUG
Molecule: long non-coding RNA, 2005 nt
Filed under: Nothobranchius furzeri (turquoise killifish)
Lineage: Eukaryota; Metazoa; Chordata; Actinopteri; Cyprinodontiformes; Nothobranchiidae
Description: lncRNA (ENSNFUG00015009913.1)
Source: RNAcentral